Long non-coding RNA from Herpailurus yagouaroundi (jaguarundi), 4329 nucleotides. RefSeq lists it as uncharacterized. The record is from RefSeq and is a predicted model, not a curated record. Lineage: Eukaryota; Metazoa; Chordata; Mammalia; Carnivora; Felidae. The transcript is spliced from 2 exons.
CUCUUGCAGACCCGACGCCUGGGGCACAGGUGUUAGGACACGAGAAAACGGGAGACGCUCGGCACGUCACAAGGGCCCGCCGUGUGUUGAGAUUUGACGGAAGGAGGCCUCGGAUGGGACCCAUGUGGGCUUUCAGAAAGAGCAGGAGGUCGUUUCACGGAACGUCCCCAAGAACGAUCACCUGUGGACAUCACUUCCCCUGGUAACUGGUCCCAGACGCUGGCAGUAGGGACUCCAACCUUCGGACUCAGUGAAAGCGCCUCAGAGAACGAUGUGGAUCCUGGGUUCUGGAAAUGAAGUGCCUCAGGACUCAGUUUCUUUGUGGAAUGAAGCAUUCAACUAAAUGAAGGUAAAAAUAGGGAACCCUACAAGCUUUCUGCAUAUAAGAUACAAGAACAGGUUUUUUCAGUGCACCUGUGCCUGGCACAUUUUCCUAGGGACACCCCAGUCCUCCUGUUUGCCUCCAGGGUCAUUGGUCACUCUGUGUGACAUUCAGCUGGUCCCCAGGUAGUUCUCCCAGAUGUUCCACAUGCAGCUGGUCUCAAUUCCUGUGCUUCCACGUGACAUUUUCAUAUUAUUUGAAGACUCUUGACUUGGACCGAGUUAGCAUAAACCUCACCGGGUUUACUGUUGUGACACAUGCACUUGUGUGUUGCUGGGCCAUGUGUUUCCCUGUAUAACCCGCCUGGUUUUUCACAGCCAGAGAUGGGUGUAGUUAAAGCGCUCCAAAUCACAGACCUCCAAGAAUUGAUGUACCUUUUUGAUACAUCUCCUUCCUGACAGGUCUACUUUUUUUCCAUCUGGGCCAAAUGGUAAUGUAGUUUGGCCGAUUUUCAUGUGCUUGCACAGCUGUCCCCGGAGAUCCUCAUGCAGCUUGGACGACUGUCCCCAGAGACCCCGGUGCAGCCCGGACAGCUGUCCCCGGAAACCCCGGUGCAGAAUUAGGGUUUUCCUUGGAGAGCCUUGCUAAUCCUGUUCACUCACUUUUGUGAACAGUUUUAUGUUAGGACACGAACAGUACGUUUAUCCAAUUUUCGGGAAACACAAAGCCAGGAAGCCUAGUCUAUGUCAAGUGAUAGUCCUGGCUCAUGACCACCACAGAGAUGAGAUCAAGGGGGCAAAACGGAUGAAAUGAAAUAACAGAAAUGUCAAACCUACAUUUGCAUUAGAAACACACACGUACAGAGUGAGGAAGAGUGGGUUAGAUCAUAUUUCAGCUAAAGGAUUUAUGGGAUUUUAAUUGGGAUCAAUACAAUAAGUGACACUGUGGCCAGAAAUGGAUAGUACCAGGUCCCCUCCAUCGACUCACAUGUGGAAAUGGAAAAGUCGGGAGAUCCUGGCACCCAACACUGAUCAGUGAAGCUUUCAGCAAAAUAGCUAAAUAGAGACACAGAUAAAAACACUCUGAAGAGCACUCAGCACAGAGCAUUGGGCAGCCAUCUCAGGCAUCAGCCAGAAAUUAUGGCAUCUUUGAUAUUUCACAUCCUUGUUAUGAAUACUUUAUCAUGGGAGGUGGAAAUGCUGUGUGUCUCGAAAUAGCGUGAAGCGAUCAGAUGAACUAGGUUUUCGUCGAUGACUGGCCGCUCCCCAAGGCGGGAUGGGCUUACAGAUGGCGGUUACAAGUGGCGUCAUGGGGCAAGGAAAACCAUCUCCGCCAGGAGCAGGAGGCUGUUGGGUCCCACACACCUGGAGGCUCACAUUCCUGGCUGAACCAACAGCUGGAAGAGAAGUUAGGGAAGAAAUCCUACAACUUUUAGGGCUUCUUGUAAAAGAGAUUCAGUGAUUAUUUGAUUCAAUAACCUUGUAUGUAUUUUAGUAACUUUGUACUUUGGGACAACAUUCAGAGCUUUGAGAGCUAGCUGCCUGUAAAAACGGAGACAAAACAGUUGGACCAGGAGCCAGGCAAUGGUCCUCCAUAAGUUUCAUCAGGACCCAGAGGUAUAAAUGCUUGGAAGUGGCAAAUUUAUAAAUAUUUGGCUCAAAUAAUCUUUUUAGAUCAUGUUUAGUAAGUCUUGAUGUGUUUCAGUUGUGUUAUGUCUGAAGAUGUAUUUCUUCUGUAGCCUCUACGGCCAGGGCGAGCGAGUCCAGCGCUAUUUUCUUUGAGAAAGCAAACACAACUGCAUCAUCCCUUUGUCUCUGAUGUUCCAAAUGUUUCUUUAGAGCCAUUUCUUGGAGGAUGGUCAGUGCCUACCACGUGAAAAUGUCCGGUGUUCUCGAGUGUGUAAGCAUCCAUCUGUGUGUGGGUUCUGCUUAGUAGAUUGCUUCCGUUAAAAGAUUUGCCUGAUAAGCUCUUAAGUCGUAAGCAUGCCGGUGUCUUCUGCUUCUAGUCAGUUGAUUUAAGUGAAUCUUAAUCAAGAUCCUCAAAUCUCGUUCAGUAAAAACGAAUGGACCCACAAAGCUAGUAUCUGGCGUCACCUACAAUUUCGGAGUGGAUGUACGUCUGCACACCCAUGCGUAUUAAUCUAACCUGUGGGAGGAGGAGGUCCGUGGUCCAGAGAGCCUGAUUUAACUCCGGUAAUUUCCCCCCACGUAGCGUCUUGGUGUGAAGGGUUGCAGGAAACACACCAUGAUUUUUAUACUUUAGGAGGAAAGGUGGCUUUCACAAUGUGUCAGAAUCUUUCAGUGCAACGAACGGAGUCUGUGCACUCAGAAAACCUGUUUUGGAUUUCUGAUCCUUAGAAGGGGUUACUCUUGAAACACCGGAGUAACCGUGGCCUCUAGCAGGUGCUUUAACAACCGAAGUCUGAAAGUUCUUCAGCAGACUGUGGGGUACGUCCUGGCUCCCAGGGGACUGGUCGCCCCAGGGAAGACCAUAAGCAUCGCCUGGGACGCUGGGGGGCCGGCGCUAGGACCGCCCCUCUGACGCUGCUGCUGGCUUGGGGGCUGUCUCCAGACCUCCUGUGAUUGUCUUCUCAGACUGUGAUCCCGAGUCUCGGUCACCAGAAACCGUUGGAAACAUCAAGCAGCCAUGAAUGAGGACUGGCUCAAUCACGGACUGGCUGCCUCAUUCCCUCCAAUUCUACUUGCAGACCCGAGAAUGUGUUUCCGUUCCUACUACAUUAUAAAGAAGCAGGAGAAAACUAGUUUCCUGUCCUGCACACGUUGAUGUCCUUUAGGUCAUUUUCAAGGAUGACGCCGUGUCUUCAUUAAGCUACUGGCAGAGAGACUGACCAAAGCACCUUGGUUUGCAUCUCAGUAGAUGAAAACGUGCCUGCAGGUGGAGAUUUGCGUGGGCCGACCACGUGCGGACUCACCGCUUAUGUCACCUGUCCCCCAAAGGCCCAGGAGCGCCCAGACUUCCCUUCAUCUCAAGUUUGCCACUUGGUAAGGCUGUGUCUUCAACACCAUCACCCAGACAAAGAUUUCUUGUACCCGCCUGCACGCUCCUGCAGCAUCACAGACCCAUCAUUAUGACCUGGCAUGUGCCAGCCAGCGCUCAUUGGACGAUGACACCCCUGUGCCCUGCCUCACGGCCCACAGGCCCUUGGGGACAGAGAGCAGGCAGUGCCGACCGAGGAUAAGACAGACAAGGUCUACGCGGUGAAGUGCUGCUUUCCUUAAGAGAAAGGAAGAAAAGGAAAUGAAAGUUGCUCGUGUGUUCAGAGGUCCCCUGAGAAGCCAGGACCAGAAUACCCACAGCCACAUGUGAGUCAGAUGCACCCCUACAGACACAGUGUCAGCCGCCCAGUGACCCAGGUCACUCCCUCCCCACAAGGGCUCCACCGAGUGACCCAUGUGGGGACUUCUCAGGGACCGAGGGGUCCAUGAUCCCUCUGAUGAGGAAGGACGGCGCCUGGUCCCCGGCCAUUCACAACAUGGAGACACAGCCACGGCCCCCACUCUGCACAUCUCCUGCAGAUCCCAACAUCCCGCCGUCCCUUUGGAUUCUGCAGCCCUGCCUCGGCCCCUCCGGCACUGCCCUCCCGUGCUCCGGGUCCCCAAAGCUUCCAUGCAAAGUUCUGUGGCUUCCAUGGGAUGUUCCCUGGGGCCACACAGCCCCGGCACCUUGUCCAUGCACAGGCACGGUGCCCUGCGGGAGCCCUAGCAACGCCCCACAACGCAUGCCUUUCGUCCGGUUUCUCUUACACAACUGACUUUAAUCGCCAGCAGAGAAGACUCUUCGGCAAGCACUGAAACCCACCGAUGUGCACUGUCUAUGUGGGGUCUCAGGAUGUGUGUGGCACGAAAGCCAACAAUGAGGGUAACACACCGCCAGUGUUUCAGUGUGGGAAUCAGAGCCGCUGCAAAACUUGCAACGCUUGUCGCUGCGAAGAUUUUCGAACAGAUUUUCUCCUUUUCAGAUUAAUUAAAUAAUGUAUCUACUUUAAA